GCUAAGCCCUAAACAUUGAUAGUAGUCAUUACAUUACUUUCCGCCAGAGAACUACAAGUGAAAAACUUGAAACUCAAAGGACUUGACGGUGUCCCAUAUCGACCUAGAGGAGCCUGUCCUAUAAUCGAUACUCCCCGUUCCACCCAACCUCAACUAGCAAAAUAUCAGCCUAUAUACCGCCGUCGACAGUCUACCCCAUGAGGGCUCAACAGUAGACACAACAGCCUUAACGCUAAUACGUCAGGUCAAGGUGUAGCAAAUGUUGAGGAAAAGAUUGGCUACAUUUUUUAUGAUAAAAAACACGAAUUGCACUAUGAAACACUGCAUGAAGGUGAAUUUAGUAGUAAAACAGACAAGAGUGUCUGUUUUAACAACGCUCUGGGACGCGU
This 389-nucleotide ribosomal RNA is filed under the name Podarcis tiliguerta. RNAcentral's name for it is "partial 12S ribosomal RNA". It matches the Rfam family "Bacterial small subunit ribosomal RNA", at positions 794 to 1384 of the family's 1533-position model. Lineage: Eukaryota; Metazoa; Chordata; Lepidosauria; Squamata; Lacertidae. The record is from RNAcentral.